Molecule: ribosomal RNA, 440 nt
Filed under: uncultured bacterium
Lineage: Bacteria
Description: partial 16S ribosomal RNA
Rfam family: Bacterial small subunit ribosomal RNA
Source: RNAcentral
CCUACGGGUGGCAGCAGUAGGGAAUAUUGCUCAAUGGGGGAAACCCUGAAGCAGCAACGCCGCGUGGAGGAUGAAGGUUUUCGGAUUGUAAACUCCUUUUGUUAGAGAAGAUAAUGACGGUAUCUAACGAAUAAGCACCGGCUAACUCCGUGCCAGCAGCCGCGGUAAUACGGAGGGUGCAAGCGUUACUCGGAAUCACGGGGCGUAAAGAGCGCGGAGGCGGGAUAGCAAGUCAGAUGUGAAAUCCUAUGGCUUAACCAUAGAACUGCAUUUGAAACUGUUAUUCUAGAGUAUGGGAGAGGGAGGUGGAAUUCUUGGUGUAGGGGUAAAAUGCGUAGAGAUCAAGAGGAAUACUCAUUGCGAAGGCGACCUGCUAGAACAUAACUGACGCUGAUGCGCGAAAGCGUGGGGAGCAAACAGGAUUAGAUACCCCAGUAGUC